ACAGACGGAACUCCCUCUGCCCCCGACGCCCCCGACCCCGAGCCCUCGACCCCCAUCACCCGAUCCUUUCCGUUUCUCUCCUUCUCCUCUGUCUCCGCGGGAGGGCGACUGCAGAACAUAGUCUUCUUGCAGCAGGGCGUCUUCCAGCGGCUCCUCAGCAGCAUCGCAUUGGUUGCAGCUCCUCAAUGGGCAUCCUCGAGCAGCUGAGGAAGCUCCUCAGCAGGGCGUGUGUCUUCCAGCGGCUCUUGGGCGGCGGCUUAUAGAUAUGCUUCGAGCUGAACUCACUAUGUACCUCAGAGCUCCAAACCAGGACAUCAUGAUUGGUUGAUAUCUUGAAUGGAUGGAACGAUGUAGCUUUUUCUUUUAAUCGUUAGUCUUAAGGAACCAGACGGUGAUGCCUCUUCUAAAGUAUUACAUGGUUUUGAUGAGAAGAGUAGCAUGCACGACAAAAGACUACUUAUCUAGCGAGUUGUUAUAGUUGUUUUUGUUUUAUGACUUGCAACAGUUGAAUAUUUUAGACAAUUUGUAUUUUGUAGUUUUACUUGAUACCGGUGGCUUAUAGAUGUUUAAACAUUCUACAGUACUGAUGUUUUUGUUAUAUAUAUGAAUGUAUUGAAAGAGUUGAUUUUGUUAUAAUAUUAUGGAGCGUGUUAUCAAA
Long non-coding RNA from Nymphaea colorata (pocket water lily), 658 nucleotides. RefSeq lists it as uncharacterized. Lineage: Eukaryota; Viridiplantae; Streptophyta; Magnoliopsida; Nymphaeales; Nymphaeaceae. The record is from RefSeq and is a predicted model, not a curated record. The transcript is spliced from 3 exons.